RNAcentral lists this long non-coding RNA (1038 nucleotides) under Anas zonorhyncha (Eastern spot-billed duck). Its description in RNAcentral is "lncRNA (ENSAZOG00000013039.1)". The record is from RNAcentral. Lineage: Eukaryota; Metazoa; Chordata; Aves; Anseriformes; Anatidae.
UGAAUCAGAUGAUCUUAAGAGGUCCCUUCCGACCUCAGCCACUGAGUGAUUCAAAGAUCUCAUGCAGCAGGAUCCCUAACCACCUCCCACGCAGUCAGAUAAUACCACAGUCGUGUGUCAUCCUUCCCCCAACCCCCCAGAGGGCUAUAGGGCCAUGGGCACUGGAUUCAGUUUCUUGACACUCUUCUAGAGUAAUAGCUGGAGUCCUUUUGGGUUACACCACAGUGCUUAAAUAUUCCUUAACUAUGCUGCAAUAUAGGCAUGAUCUGAAACUUCCUUGGCUGCCUGAAAUCCACAGGGUUAUCUGCUCCAUUAGUCUGGCAGAUAUAUCACAGGCUUAUGGGAAAGUCACACUGUUCUGCACUAGAAGCAAAACAGGAUGAUGUAGGACUUUUAUAGCACUGCUAGAUAUUUGUCUUCAAGCAACCAAAUCAAGUUUAUUUGAGCUGUUCAACCAAAUCACUCCUUAAAUGCUGAUGACUGUGCUGAUUAGAUUGUCAUUGACUUUGAUGGGGGUGUGGGUGCUGACUUACCUAUAGAUAUUUACGGUCAAAUAUCAUAAUCUUGAUCUGAAUCCCAGCCAUAUAUUCAGUCAUCUGAAUCUCUCUAUUUCAUUUUUACUCUCUGUUGGAAGGAAAUUAUGUCCAUGGGACAAGCAAUCUUUUGGCAUGUUCUUCCUAAAAACAUGCAAUUUUGUUUUCUGACUUUGAUGGUACUAUGCUACCCGUUAGUUUUAUGUAUCUUGGAGUCAUGUGUUCUUAUGACAGUGAUUUAUUUUAUACAUACUUUAAGCUGAACAGUGUGUAGAAAAAGGGCAAUAGACCUAAACAUAUUGUAAUUAAUACACUGAAUUUAUGGCUUUUUUUCUGUAGUCUCUGUAAUGUUUUGGACAGUUACAUUAAACAUAGCAUUUAUUCAGUACAUAGAGAAUGUACAUUUCCCAGUUAUAUAUAAAAAAAAAAAAAAAAAGAUGUCCAAACUCCUUAUAGACUUUGAGGAAAACAUUCAUUCUUUGAUUUUAUUCUUUCAAGUGCAAAC